RNAcentral lists this ribosomal RNA (253 nucleotides) under uncultured bacterium. RNAcentral's name for it is "partial 16S ribosomal RNA". It matches the Rfam family "Bacterial small subunit ribosomal RNA", at positions 524 to 776 of the family's 1533-position model. The record is from RNAcentral.
UACGAAGGAUCCAAGCGUUGUCCGGAUUUACUGGGUUUAAAGGGAGCGUAGGCGGAUCUUUAAGUCAGUGGUGAAAGCUCUCAGCUUAACUGGGAAACUGCCAUUGAAACUGAAGAUCUCGAGUAUGGUUGAGGUUACUGGAAUGUUGCAUGUAGCGGUGAAAUGCUUAGAUAUGCAACAGAACACCAAUUGCGAAGGCAGGUAACUAAGCCAUAACUGACGCUGAGGCUCGAAAGCGUGGGGAGCAAACAGG